UUUAUGGAGAGUUUGAUCCUGGCUCAGAGUGAACGCUGGCGGCGUGCCUAAUACAUGCAAGUCGAACGAUGAAGCUUUUAGCUUGCUAGAAGUGGAUUAGUGGCGCACGGGUGAGUAAUGCAUAGGUUAUGUGCCCUUUAGUCUGGGAUAGCCACUGGAAACGGUGAUUAAUACUGGAUACUCCCUACGGGGGAAAGGGACUCUUAAAUAUGCUCCUAGAGUAUUUUUAAAACAAGAAGUCGCGUGAGUGAAAAGGAAAAUUGUAGAAGGCUUAUAAAAAUAAGUCAAAACAAUUUGACGCAUUCAAACACGAUGAAUUUUUUGAAUUUAAAGAUAUUCUAGGGGUAUAUUUAAGAGUCUCCGCUAAAGGAUCAGCCUAUGUCCUAUCAGCUUGUUGGUGAGGUAAUGGCUCACCAAGGCUAUGACGGGUAUCCGGCCUGAGAGGGUGAUCGGACACACUGGAACUGAGACACGGUCCAGACUCCUACGGGAGGCAGCAAUGAGGAAUAUUGGUCAAUGGGCGAGAGCCUGAACCAGCCAAGUCGCGUGA
This 550-nucleotide ribosomal RNA is filed under the name Helicobacter sp. RNAcentral's name for it is "bacterial SSU rRNA". It matches the Rfam family "Bacterial small subunit ribosomal RNA", at positions 1 to 404 of the family's 1533-position model. The record is from RNAcentral. Lineage: Bacteria; Pseudomonadati; Campylobacterota; Epsilonproteobacteria; Campylobacterales; Helicobacteraceae.